Long non-coding RNA from Trachymyrmex septentrionalis, 763 nucleotides. RefSeq lists it as uncharacterized. The transcript is spliced from 3 exons. Lineage: Eukaryota; Metazoa; Arthropoda; Insecta; Hymenoptera; Formicidae. The record is from RefSeq and is a predicted model, not a curated record.
AACGCCGUCGUCAUCGUCGCUGUCGUCUUCGUCCUCGUCCUUGUUAUCGCGCUCGUGCUCUCGAGACGUAUCUUACGGAGUACUAAUCUCUCAGUGAAUUUUCAAAGUGCCUAUCCUCAUCCCACAAGUGACAGGGUUAAUCUAGGUGAUCACGUGUUCGAACAUGCGAUCGCGACCACGUGCCAUGAGAUUCUUAUGAGAUUUGAAAUGGCAAAGUUAACGUUUGCCGUUUUAUUAUCAGCGAGGUUCUAUCAGUUGCAGUCAUAAUAAAGAGGCGAUGGACGCGUGACGCCGCGGUCUGACCGCAAGCUCGUUACGUCUGUCGGAAGUAUAAAUCAACCGUAAAGUUAUUCCGCCGUACUGUCGGGAACUCCCCGUAGGGCGCCUCGUUGGAAACUGCUACCACCUUCUUGUCCGCGAUAUCGUUCGCGCAGAAGAUAGCGACCGAGAAAUGGAGAAAAGCCGAAAAAGCGAUAAUCAGCAGGCAAAACUGCAAGAGGAUAUUCUUAACUUCGAGAACGAAUUUAUUCUUGCGCAACUUCUGUUCCACGAUCGAGUUUAACAAAGUAUCUCGCGUUUCGCUCGUAUAAUAAAUAAAUAUUCCAACUCACUGGGAGCUCUUAUCUUUCAACAAAAACCCCCAAGAUCCUUCGAUAACCGCGACGCGAACUCACUAAUCUGCGAUCAAAUUAAUUGGAACGAGCAUUUCUGCACAUUGAUAAAAAAUGUCUGCCAAAACAUGUCAGCUUCAGAACAUUAAUCA